Molecule: RNA transcript, 5282 nt
Organism: Helicoverpa zea (corn earworm)
Lineage: Eukaryota; Metazoa; Arthropoda; Insecta; Lepidoptera; Noctuidae
Gene: hep
Gene name: dual specificity mitogen-activated protein kinase kinase 7-like
Exons: 16
Source: RefSeq, a predicted model, not a curated record
UGGAAAUGGUUGUCGAAGGAAAUUGAAGGAAAUCCUUGGACUGCUGCGCUUUUCAUUGUAAUUUUGUGUAAAUAAAAUUUAGUAUAUUUGUUUUGUAAUAAGUACUUAAAUGUUAUCAGUGGACUAUUUUAGUUGCUAUAAUGUCACGUAGUUCGAUUGAGGGGAAACUGAAAGGUUUGCAAGAAAGAUUCGAAAAUGAAAUGCGUAUUGAAAGAGAAGGUGGUUUCAACAACCAAGGUGGAAUUGGGACUCCUAGACCUGGGAGCGGCAGGAGCAGGCCGAGGCCCCCACUUAUGUUUUCAAACAGAGAAAUCCCACCGUUCCCACCGAGAUCACCGCAAGCUACUGAGACUGAAUACAGAAUGCGAGAGGUGUACAAGGUGAGCGGCAAACUGAACGUAGACGGCGUAGAGUACAGAUCGCACGUGGACGACUUGCAGCAGCUGGGGGAACUCGGCAGCGGCACCUGCGGCCAUGUCGUUAAGAUGCUGCACAAGCCUUCUAACACUGUUAUAGCUGUUAAACAAAUGCGUCGCUCGGGCAACUCGGAAGAAACCAAGCGAAUUCUAAUGGAUUUAGACGUAGUAGUCCGGUCUCACGACUGUCCGUACAUCGUGAGGUGUUUGGGCUGCUUCGUCACCGAUGCUGAUGUCUGGAUCUGCAUGGAGCUCAUGGCUUCUUGCUUUGAUAAGCUGCUGAAGAGGCUUGGAGCUCCCAUACCUGAGGCUAUACUGGGGAAGGUCACUGUGGCGACGGUGAACGCUCUAUCGUACCUGAAAGACACGCAUGGAGUGAUCCACCGCGACGUGAAGCCGAGCAACAUCCUGCUAGACGAGCGCGGCAACGUCAAGCUGUGUGACUUCGGCAUCAGCGGCCGCCUCGUCGACUCCAAGGCGAAGACUCGGAGCGCGGGCUGUGCUGCCUACAUGGCCCCGGAGCGGAUAGACCCGCCGGACCCGACGCGGCCGGACUACGACAUCCGCGCGGACGUGUGGUCGCUGGGCAUCUCGCUCGUCGAGCUCGCCACCGGCGUCUUCCCCUACCGGGACUGUCAGAACGACUUCGAAGUGCUCACCAGGGUAAUAGCGGAUGAUCCGCCUCAACUACCGGACACAGAUGACUUCUCGCCAGAAUUCAAACUAUUCGUGUCACAGUGCCUAACAAAAAACUACAGACAACGCCCAAAAUACGCGAAGCUUCUAGAACACCCGUUCGUAGUGAAAUCAGCUCGCAGUUCCAUCUCCGUCGGCGCCUGGUACGCCUCCCUCUCCAUCUCGGGGAACAAGCCGGGCGGCGUGACGUCACAGCCGCCGGCUAGCAAUGGCGUCGAGACGCCCGUUACGCCGCAGCCAGUGAGGAACUUUGUGACGAGUUCCCAGCAUUGGAUGGAGCAGGUCACGCCUACGCCGGCUAGAGCAUGGUGGGCGACGAGUAGUAACGCGAGCGCUGGUGGCAGCAGUUCUCAGCCCACGAGCCUAGAAACUGAUAUGUGCAACCACUCGCCUUAUCCCAGGAGAAGAACAAUAGACGCAUGUGCAUCUCCCCCGCCGCCGCCAGUCCGUCGCGUGUCCGCCGACAACCGCUGGCGAGCCUCGCCCGCUAGUUCGGGUAACACUAGUCCUAUAGUCCUGCAGAGGUUUUACCAUCAAAACCAGCAGAGGAGAUCGAGGGUAGACCUGCACUCGACGCCUAGGCAUAGAAGUUUAAGUAGAGAACACAGUACUGGCCGGUCGCCCGAGCCUCCUCCGAGAACCAGUCGGCAGCACCAAAUGUUAGGACAUGAAGCAAACGGCAGCAUGACGGAGUUGGAGCCGCCCGCGCUACAUGAGCGCCUGCACCCGCAUCCACCCUCGCCGUUAUUACUCAACGAUAGGUUAUCAGAAGGUCGCAGUCAAAGCUUAACUCGUGCGGAGCUCCGUAACGGGUACCGCGCGGAACCGCCGCCGCCCAGCGCCGCGCACAAACACCACCACGAUGACCAGGCAAUUAGUGACGAAGGAGAGCAGCCAGCCUAUGACUACUCUGAGAUAGUUCGCGUCCGCGCCGGCCGUCACUCCGCACGCAUACUGUGUAUUAUACAUGUGUGAAAUGAUUGCUAAACAUGGAAUUAUUUAAAUAAAAAAUAAUAAUAUUAGUUAAUUUUUUAAAGACUUGAGAGUAACUUUUGAGUUAAUAAAUUAUAAUUUUGUUGGUUUAACUAUAGAUGUGCCUUAUACAUGAAGAUGUUUCUCCAAAUACUUCGAUACUGCAUAAUGUACUAUACUGCAUUUGAUAUAGCAUCUUAGCUCCUUAAUUUGCCUUAAAAUUUAACAUUGAAUUUAUCGAUAAAAUUAAAAUUGUGUUUAUCGAUACUUAAACAUGAUUAUAAAAUCUAGUUUUUUAAAUGAAAAUUUCAUGCAAUCAUUUCACAAAUCAUCUCAUUCUCAUACAGUCUGUUUCUACCCUUCCAUCGUGUAAAUAUCAAGGAAGAAAACCAUGAAGUUAUGGGAUAUAUGCUUUUGACGCGUCCUAUGUGCUUUGCGGUUAUAUGCUUUUGCACAAAUAAAGCAAAACAGCCAAACUGGCUUUGCCGAAAUACCUAUUGGAAGUAUAUUCAUCGAGUGCUGUAGAUGGAUUUUUGCAAAGUAUACAUAAAAUGGUAUUUAUUUGUGUUUUUAGUAUCGAUAUUUCAUCAUAGAGUGAUCUCUCUAUGUUUCAUGUCUAUAGUAUAAAAGUGGCCUUUGUUUUCCAUUAUCAUGAGUGAAUAACAAUAGAUAUCAAGGUUACAUUUUAUGAUUUUCAGAGAAAAAUAUCGAUAUUAAAACCGAAGAUUUUCUAUCUACAAAACUCGAUAUCAAAAUUUUGUGUCGACAUUUUUGUAUGUGCUAAUUAACACUUUGUACGCCACGAAGCAGACACAAUGCCAUAACUAUUGUGUGAACCAGUGGCGUUCAGAGACUUCUAUCGAUAAAUAUUAUCGACAUUAGAGAUGUAGCCGCAAAUUAUAUUUAUUACCUAACCCACUCAUUGUAUGUACAGCAAUCUUAACAUGAGCUAAUGGGAAACAUAUCGAUAUGUAAAUCUUUAAACUAUCGACAUUUUCACCUGUGGUAAUUGUUAAGAGUGCAGCUUUUCAAAAUUGUUUGUUCUCCCAAAUGUUUCUUACUGACGUUUUGAUGUAUGUAAUAUGUUAUUUUAACACGAUUAAUGGAACUUUUUCCUUACUGUACACCCAAUAUUUAACUCAACCUUUUCGCAUAACAAAGUACAUAAAAGACUUUUUGGUCUGCUACCUAUUUAAAAAGAGAUCUCUAAAGAGUACACGUUCAAAAAAGGUUCCAUAGACCGUGUCUGUGCUUUGCCGCUGUCCUUCCGCGUCCCACACAUCGCCUGCCCAUUCGUAGCUCUGUCACAUGCCUCGCUACACUAAACACGACCUUAACACCUUGCUAAUAAGGGCUACACUUGUAUGUACACUAAGGGUUAGUAGCUUGGGAAGCGUCUCGCUAGAUUUGUACUGCGAUUCUAUGUAUUUGUUGUUAGUUUGAGUGGAUAGUUUACAGUUUUUAUCAAGUUUGCUAAUGCUGUUCGACAAUAUUAUGAAAAAAGUUAAUGUAGUAAAUGACGUUAGCUUCAAAUAAUGACCACCGUCAGUAAUCUAUUUCAUUUAUCUCUUGAAAUCUCACGAUUUAAUCUUUUUUCACUACGAAUUCCAAACGAAUAAUUUUUUAUAGUCUCGUAUUCUCGAUGGACUCUGGUCCGGCUAAUCUUGUAGCUGAAAUGCUAUAUCCUUAAGUGUUCACAUGCUCUCUAUAUACUAAACUAUUUUCAAUGUUGAGUGUUCCUAUUCUGAUAGAAAAAAAAAAACAGUCUUCUUUCAACUGACAGUUAGAAAAGAACUUCUUGUAAGCUAUCCACAUACAAAGUUAAUAAGGUAGCUUUUACUGGCGAGGUGUGAGCGCGACAGCCGCAGUUCAUCUCACCGUCAUGGUAGCUUCGCUGUCAGUAACAUUAGCGGGCAUUCUAAGCCGACUCCUUGGUUCAAACACCUCACUAGUUGUAUCUGCAGAGAUGUGAGCAAAUUGUAAAGAAACAUAUUUGGGACUAACUAUUUGCAGUUUCAAAAGUUGAACUGCGUGUGCACUGAACUGUAACUGUGUGACGAGGACGAGUAUCAUGGGUAUAUUUAGAUUAUUAAAUCAAGUUAUCCGAGUAUUAAUUUUAUCCCGUCACAACACCUUCUUACUUCUUACAGAUCAGUAUAAACGCCAUAGAAUAAUUCGAGCAAAAAUCGAUCUUUCCUACAAUAAAACACACAGAUCUACCGUGUACUGCCUUUAUUUUCAUCUUGGACAUUUGCUCACAUCUCAAACUGACAGAUUAAUGGCCGAAUACUGAAACGUUACUCAAUUUUAAGUGCUGUAUAUGUGUCACUUUCUGCAACAGAAACAAAGUUAAGUAACAAUGACUUUUAAGCAAGUAAGACUUUGAAAUUAAGAACCGUUUCAAGUAAUUCUGGUGUAAAAUCAUAUCAAAAGAACUCAGUGAGGUAAACCAAAGAGUCGGUGUGGGCACGGGCGGGCGGGCGAUUAGCGGAGCGGUAGCGUGUGGUCGGUCGCAGGCUGGCUGCACUCGCUCGCGGGGCUGGUGAAGCGCCGCCUCAGCGGGUACGUCAAGUGGCAUCACCUUGCAGCCAGGAGCCAGCACCAGCACCAUGUGCAGCAUCGAUGGGGAAACAGCGAAAGUUGGAGCAUGCCGGCGUCGCCCCUCCCGCCCCGCGCGCCGCCGCCGCGCCCCGCCGACUAGCGCGCGACGCCACAGCCGCGCCUCACCCACUCCCACGUGGCUCACAUAACGCUUUGACACAUACAUCUUUCUUUCAGCUGUGGUCAACUCAGGUACAACAUGUUUUGUUGCUGGAUCCGUAAAACCGGUUUGUCGUACGACAAAUCGGAUGUUUCAUGCGAUGACAAAAUCGGUGUUUUAUUUAUGUUAUGAUGUCAUAAUGAAAAUAAAUUAUCGGUUUUGACGCUUUACCACACAGGAAAUAAAGUGGAUUACAUUAAAUACUGGAUAAUCAGAGAAUAAUUAUGUACUUGAGUCAUACAAGCCACGUUGUCCUCGCAACCACUGUUGUUCAACGUUCUAUGCUAUAUAUAAUUAUCGAUAGUAAACUAUAGAAAGACGGCACGAUCGCUUUGUAUUUUAUUACUGCUUAAGGUACGGUUCUCGUGCACGCUACUGAAAUAAUCGACUAAGAUUUCCAAGUCGCAGACUUUCUGCCCCCAAUUUUAGCAAAGUGU